This is a long non-coding RNA of Camelina sativa (false flax), 989 nucleotides long. RefSeq lists it as uncharacterized. NCBI's taxonomy places the organism in Eukaryota, Viridiplantae, Streptophyta, Magnoliopsida, Brassicales, Brassicaceae. The record is from RefSeq and is a predicted model, not a curated record.
AAUACUUUAGCCAAAAUAAUUCACUUUGUACCGCCAAAACACUUUAGAACCUAGGAAAAAAAUCACUUAUUAGUUAUUACCAACUAAAACCUAAUUUCUCUCAUUUGUUUUCUAUCGUUCUUCAGUUCUUCUCCUCUCCUCCAAUACCUCUUCGCUAUCUUCAGAUUCAGAUUUUUUUUCCUCUUCAAAAUCUUUGCGAUAAUUACACUAAACCCUAGAUUUGAUUUACAAUAUCGUCGCUUUUGGCCAUUUUGUGUUACCUUCGAGGCACCGACGACAAGACGAGACCAGCCACAGAUCUGUGCUUGAGGUAGGAGGUAGAGAUUACUAAGAUCUCUCCAAUUGUCCCAGAUAUGGCGUAGCAUCUUUCAGAACUACAAGACCAAGAGGCAAGAGCCUUUUUCAAGAUAUCUGGAGAUAGAGAUCUAAAAUAAGCAUUUUUGGGUGAGAAGGAAGUAAUUAACGCCCUUUUCUUAAGAAUUCUUCCACAAUCGCCGCCGUUUUUGCAUUGAGAUAUGGAUGAUAGUGAAUAUCAUUUUCAUGAGGUAAAGAACAAAUAAGAGACAAGUAAACUCUUUUAUGAUUCACAACUUUCACUUGGACGAUCAAGUCCUUCUUCUUCUUCCCCCUGCGUCGUGCGUGCUCUCUCGAAUUCACAGAUUUUUAGCAACGAAGCUGAAUCAGUUUAAUACUGGCUGACGUAAGAGGAAUACGAUAUUUCAGAAGACCGGCCAUCAUCCUGUAGACAUGGUACGAUCUGAGCCUCGUUAAGGUUCCAAGAUCAUAUCUAAAGAAAGCGUAGAGAUCCUAGCCUUGUGCAAGAACAUGAUGAUAUACAACUCCAUGUACCUUCUAGAACUUAGAAGUUUGUCUCUAUUUUUUUUUGUGAUGUUAGUUUAUUUUAGUUAAGAUUGUUAUGUAAGACUUUAUGUUAUGUAAAACUUUUUUCUGAGAAUGUAAUAAUAAUUUUAUGUAUGUUGGUGAUUUUA